GUAGCCAGUGCAGAGACUGUAGUAUUGGGGUAAUAUGAUCAUAUUUUCUUGACCUGGUAAGGACUCUAGCCGCUGCAUUUUGGACUACCUGUAGCUUGUUUAUUGAGGAUGCAGGACAACCACCUAGCAGUGCAUUACAAUAGUCCAGUCUAGAGGUCAUGAAUGCAUGAACUAGCUUUUCUGCAUCAGGAACAGGUAACAUGUUUCGUAGCUUGGCAAUGUUUCUAAGAUGGAAGAAUGCUGUUUUUGUAACAUGGGAAAUAUGAUUUUCAAAAGACAAGUUACUGUCUAAUAUAACACCCAGAUUUUUGACAGUAGAGGAAGUAACAGUACAUCCGUCUAAUUGCAAAUUGUAAUCUACAAGAUUCUGUGUAAUGUUUUCUGGUCCAAUAAGUAAUAUCUCUGUCUUAUCUGAAUUUAAUAGGAGUAAAUUAUUGGUCAUCCAAUCUUUUACAUUUUUAACACACUCUGUUAGCUUAGAUAAUUUUGAAGUUUCACCUGGUCUUGUUGAGAUAUAUAGUUGAGAAUCAUCAGCAUAACAGUGGAAACUAAUCCCGUAUUUUCUAAUGAUAUUACCAAGGGGCAACAUGUAUAUUGAAAAUAGCAGUGGACCUAGGACAGAUCCUUGUGGCACUCCAUAUUUUACUGGUGAUAAAUGAGAUGACUCCCCAUUUAGAUAAACAAAGUGGUAGUGAUCGGACAGGUAGGAUCUAAACCAUCUUAAAGCCUGCCCUUGGAUACCUGUAUAGUUUUGUAAUCUAUCUAUGAGUAUGUCGUGAUCUAUGGUGUCGAACGCAGCACUAAGAUCAAGUAAAACUAGCAAUGAGAUGCAGCCUUGAUCUGAAGCAAGAAGCAAGUCAUUUGUAAUUUUAACAAGUGCAAUUUCUGUGCUAUGAUGGGGCCUGAAACCCGACUGAAAUUCUUCAUAGAGAUCAUUUUUUUGCAGGUAGGAGCACAAUUGAGCAGACACAACUUUUUCUAAAAUUUUAGACAUAAAUGGAAGAUUUGAAAUGGGUCUGUAAUUUGCCAGUUCACUAGGAUCUAGUUGUGGUUUCUUAAUAAGAGGCUUAAUAACCGCCAGUGUGAAUGGUUUUGGGACGUGACCUAAAGAUAACGACGAGUUAAUAAUAUUGGGAAGCG
Cyprinus carpio carpio is the source of this 1140-nucleotide long non-coding RNA. The record is from Ensembl. Lineage: Eukaryota; Metazoa; Chordata; Actinopteri; Cypriniformes; Cyprinidae.